This 163-nucleotide small nuclear RNA is filed under the name Microcebus murinus (gray mouse lemur). RNAcentral describes it as "U1 spliceosomal RNA (ENSMICG00000036796.2)". It matches the Rfam family "U1 spliceosomal RNA". From Rfam's summary of the family: U1 is a small nuclear RNA (snRNA) component of the spliceosome (involved in pre-mRNA splicing). Its 5' end forms complementary base pairs with the 5' splice junction, thus defining the 5' donor site of an intron. The record is from Rfam by way of RNAcentral. Lineage: Eukaryota; Metazoa; Chordata; Mammalia; Primates; Cheirogaleidae.
AUACUAUAUGGCAGGGGAGAGACUAUGAUCAUGGAGGUAGUUUUCCCAAGGUGAGGCUCAUCCAUUGCACUUGGGGUGUGCUAACCACUGCAAUUUCCCCAAAUGUGAGGAACUGGAUUAUAUAAUUUAUGGUGGUGGGGGACUGUAUUUGUGCUUUCACCCC